GGCGGACGGGUGAGUAAUGUCUGGGAAACUGCCUGAUGGAGGGGGAUAACUACUGGAAACGGUGGCUAAUACCGCAUAACGUCGCAAGACCAAAGAGGGGGACCUUCGGGCCUCUUGCCAUCAGAUGUGCCCAGAUGGGAUUAGCUUGUUGGUGAGGUAACGGCUCACCAAGGCGACGAUCCCUAGCUGGUCUGAGAGGAUGACCAGCCACACUGGAACUGAGACACGGUCCAGACUCCUACGGGAGGCAGCAGUGGGGAAUAUUGCACAAUGGGCGCAAGCCUGAUGCAGCCAUGCCGCGUGUAUGAAGAAGGCCUUCGGGUUGUAAAGUACUUUCAGCGGGGAGGAAGGUGUUGUGGUUAAUAACCGCAGCAAUUGACGUUACCCGCAGAAGAAGCACCGGCUAACUCCGUGCCAGCAGCCGCGGUAAUACGGAGGGUGCAAGCGUUAAUCGGAAUUACUGGGCGUAAAGCGCACGCAGGCGGUCUGUCAAGUCGGAUGUGAAAUCCCCGGGCUCAACCUGGGAACUGCAUUCGAAACUGGCAGGCUUGAGUCUUGUAGAGGGGGGUAGAAUUCCAGGUGUAGCGGUGAAAUGCGUAGAGAUCUGGAGGAAUACCGGUGGCGAAGGCGGCCCCCUGGACAAAGACUGACGCUCAGGUGCGAAAGCGUGGGGAGCAAACAGGAUUAGAUACCCUGGUAGUCCACGCCGUAAACGAUGUCUACUUGGAGGUUGUGCCCUUGAGGCGUGGCUUCCGGAGCUAACGCGUUAAGUAGACCGCCUGGGGAGUACGGCCGCAAGGUUAAAACUCAAAUGAAUUGACGGGGGCCCGCACAAGCGGUGGAGCAUGUGGUUUAAUUCGAUGCAACGCGAAGAACCUUACCUGGUCUUGACAUCCACGGAAGUUUUCAGAGAUGAGAAUGUGCCUUCGGGAACCGUGAGACAGGUGCUGCAUGGCUGUCGUCAGCUCGUGUUGUGAAAUGUUGGGUUAAGUCCCGCAACGAGCGCAACCCUUAUCCUUUGUUGCCAGCGGUCCGGCCGGGAACUCAAAGGAGACUGCCAGUGAUAAACUGGAGGAAGGUGGGGAUGACGUCAAGUCAUCAUGGCCCUUACGACCAGGGCUACACACGUGCUACAAUGGCGCAUACAAAGAGAAGCGACCUCGCGAGAGCAAGCGGACCUCAUAAAGUGCGUCGUAGUCCGGAUUGGAGUCUGCAACUCGACUCCAUGAAGUCGGAAUCGCUAGUAAUCGUGGAUCAGAAUGCCACGGUGAAUACGUUCCCGGGCCUUGUACACACCGCCCGUCACACCAUGGGAGUGGGUUGCAAAAGAAGUAGGUAGCUUAACCUUCGGGAGGGCGCUUACCACUUUGUGAUUCAUGACUGGGGUGAAGUCGUAACAAGGUAACCGUAGGGGAACCUGC
RNAcentral lists this ribosomal RNA (1421 nucleotides) under Salmonella enterica subsp. enterica serovar Bredeney. Its description in RNAcentral is "bacterial SSU rRNA". It matches the Rfam family "Bacterial small subunit ribosomal RNA". Lineage: Bacteria; Pseudomonadati; Pseudomonadota; Gammaproteobacteria; Enterobacterales; Enterobacteriaceae. The record is from RNAcentral.